GUGGCGUUUGUCAAAGUACACGUUGCCUGUACUGUAAAUAUGAGUUAAACUUUACUAAAUUCUUCAGUUAUAAACUCACGCUGUUCGGUCAGGUGAAUUUUUGUCCGGACAGGCUUACUUUUCCAUCAGCCUGUCCGGUUGACAGGCACUGUUUGGGACUUUUCAGAAAGCCUGCUAAUCGACAAUUCACAACUUCCGCCAUAAAACAAUUUGUUAUCAAGUUUAUGUUUUGAGCAUUUCUCAACAAAAUACAUGCAAAUUGAUGUCGAUUGCCACAGGUAUUGUGUUUGUAACAAUGUAUUAGGUUGAUUGAACUCAAUUUUAUAGACAUACUUGUGACAGAUUUUUUUUACAUAGUUUUUGCCUUUGCAAAGUGGAACUAUGAGCUGUACGUAUGUACUCAUAAAAGCUCAGAGCAUUCAAGAAGAACUAAAGGAAAACUUACCCUCUAUAUUUUCCAAAAAUGUGAUCAGUCUGUCGAAAGCGGCUAUCUGGUUUUCUGUCAUUUUAUUGACAAUGUCACCAUCCUUUUCCAAAAAUUUGGUAAUAACCUCAAAGUCAAAUAAAUCAGGAAGCAAUACGAUUGACCGUUUGUUUUCAUCGACAUCGUCGAGAUUUCUCUGUGUCUUACACCAAGCCUUUGAAAAGCUACACGCGUACGCACCGUUACAAUGAAGGAUUUUUACAAAGCAAAAUGUUAUCCACUGAUCCGUCCUAAGAUUGUCCAUCGCAGUUAAAAUUUCAUUUUUAAAUUUCAUCAAGCGACUGUGAAUUUGACUAAAAGUAUGUCCCCUUUUCAGUCGUUUUUGUGGUGGAUUUUCCGCCAUUUUUCUGCACAUAGAAUGAAAAAAUUCUCACUCAUAAAAAUGGCAGUCUCGUUGAGGCUAUAUACCACCAAUAGUUGUUAUUCGGAACUCUCCGGUCUGGGUUUUUCCGAUAUUUGAGCACGCGCGGUAGGUACAAACAAAGGCUGGCGCGAAAAUUUAAACCGAUAACUUACAUUUGAGAAGUUCGCUAUAUUUUCCAUUAAAACGUCGUAAUGCCAACAAAAAGAUGCAGUUGGGGAACGUGCAAUAGUGACAGCCGUUAUUGCCACAAACCGCAUAUGACUGGUGUACCGUUUUUACCCUUUCAAAAGCCAAAUGUGGACAUGGAAAGAUGUUUACACUGGAUAAAACUAUGUGCGCGUCAUCACUCGACCUUAUCAGCGGAAAAGAUUGGGAAACACCAUUAUAUUUGUUCAAAAGGACUUCCCCGUUCGAUGACGUCAUCACAAAAUGUAUCCAAGUAACGAAUGACGUCACCGUUUUGUGUGUACAUAGCAAGUGUCAACACCGACCGCUACUCGCACUUUUUAUUAAAAAUGAUGACAAAACAAGUAAGUGCUAUUAUUUAUUGGACGAUUGCCAUUGAGGAACAAACACGCGAUUGGUUCGGCAUGUACUCAGGUACCAAACUUUUUCAAACAACAAUCUGCACAGUCAAAUACUCGAUUUCAUAAUCAUUUCACAUAGUGUUUUUCUUUCACUGUCUAAGCCAUGCAUUACAUUUAAAUUUAAAGGUGGUAAAUCACAUUUGAGUAUCAUUUCAACAUGACCAAACUUUAUUAUCUGAUAUUGUACAUAUCCAAGGUGCCUGAACCACGUGACUUUUUCGGCUAUGUGUGGGACAAUCGGAUGUAAACAAAACGUCGCUUCAGAAUGCCUUUGUUUGCGAACAGUGUGGCAGAGAGGUCAAAACACGGUCGGGGAUCUCCUAACACAAAGCCACCCACGCACGGACAGGAAAAAAGUUCCGUUGGGCAAACUUUUUCUUGUUUGUUUCUAUAAAAUAUAUUGUUACAAAAUGUUGAAUUUUCAGUGAAUUGUUACUGCCGACUAAUGCACUUGUUUAAUACACAAAAUCGUAAGGAUUGUUUGUGCAAGAUGUCAUGUGAAUAUUAUUGCAACAAAACUACAAAAAGUGUUAGUUGUGUGUUUUUUAGCAGGAAUGUGUAGGCAUUUUUGACUGUAACGAAUUUAAUAAAUAAGCAUAAAGAGAUCAUAAGCAUUUUUAAACAAAUAGACACUAGGAUCAAUGACAUUUUUUUCUGGAAAAUCAUGUAUUUGUAUGUAAAUCCUAUUGAGCUAUCUGAUAUAUCACACAUGCUAUUUUUUAAGUUUAACAGUUUAUAUCAGUUGUAUUUUGUUCUUUUCAGGGAGAUUAAAGUAUUUUUGGAAGCACCUUCAAGAGACGUACUGAUAUCUUGAUCAAUGAAAAGUUGUCAUAUACAAACAUGUAUAGUAAAUGUUCCAAAGUUUAAAUGACUGUUUGAUUUAUUACCAGAUGGUGCAAGUAUUGCAGGGAAAGAAAACAAUCAAAGUAAACAUUACAUAAAAAUUUGACAUUUCAACAAAUUGAACAACAUUAUAUGAUUUAAUGUUAAUUACUUGGUGCAGUGGUAACAAGAUCUUGCAGCGCCCUUUCAUGACCGGGGCGAAUGGGUAUUUUCAUUAAACAUCUCAAACUAUUGUCAGUUAUUCAGCUUUCAUUUGAAUUUGAGUAAAUUAAGUAUUGAUGCAAUUCAAUAUGUUUGUUGGCAUAAUGACCCCCACAAGUCAAGACGUUUUGGCGAUGAUCAUUUGUUAUGACUUAAUUGAAGCAUUCAUAUGUUUGAAUAGCAAGAUUUGCAAAUUCAUAAAUUGACUGAUUACAAUUUCUUUGUGAAUACUAAUGUACUUCUUUAUGUAUUUGGCGCUUUAAUUUCUAUUGUUACAUGUGCAUGCUAGUUAUAAAGUAAUGGUAUUAUUAA
This is a long non-coding RNA of Dreissena polymorpha, 2791 nucleotides long. RefSeq lists it as uncharacterized. NCBI's taxonomy places the organism in Eukaryota, Metazoa, Mollusca, Bivalvia, Myida, Dreissenidae. The record is from RefSeq and is a predicted model, not a curated record. The transcript has 3 exons.